Non-coding RNA from Phoenix dactylifera (date palm), 364 nucleotides. The record is from RefSeq and is a predicted model, not a curated record. NCBI's taxonomy places the organism in Eukaryota, Viridiplantae, Streptophyta, Magnoliopsida, Arecales, Arecaceae.
GGGGGCAGCGGCGCUAGAGAGGGCGAUCGCCGGAGGAGGCCGAUCGUCGGGGGAGGGUAAUCGCCGGAGAAGGGGCGGCGGAAGCCAUAAGCUUCCCCCUUCAACGAAUACACACGAAGAAGCCUUGGAUCCAUGCAUGAAAACUCAAGAUUCCUCCUCCGAUUCCUCGCCGGAAAAGUCGCCGGAACACCCCGUCGGACCGAGGGGAAGAGUCAGCGGUGCCAGGAGGUUUUGAUUAGGGGACUCAGCACCCCAGCUCGUAGGUUGUGAUCCGGAUCUGUAUUUGUGUCAGUCUACAAUUUCAAGUUGCAGGAUGCAUAGAUUUGGAUGGGAUGGGCGCAGAGUGCGAGUACCAGAGUUAUUA